This 364-nucleotide ribosomal RNA is filed under the name Hoplobatrachus tigerinus (Indus valley bullfrog). RNAcentral's name for it is "partial 12S ribosomal RNA". It matches the Rfam family "Bacterial small subunit ribosomal RNA", at positions 864 to 1396 of the family's 1533-position model. Lineage: Eukaryota; Metazoa; Chordata; Amphibia; Anura; Dicroglossidae. The record is from RNAcentral.
CACCCGCGCCAGGGAACUACGAGCUUUAGCUUAAAACCCAAAGGACUUGACGGUGUCCCACCCAACUAGAGGAGCCUGUUCUAUAAUCGAUGACCCCCGCUCCACCCAACCCCCCCUUGCUUUAUCAGCCUGUAUACCUCCGUCGUAAACCCGCCGUAUGAAUGUACCCAAGCGGAUUUAAUGGUUCCACACCAACACGUCAGGUCAAGGUGCAGCCAAUGGGAGAGGUAAGUGAUGGGCUACAAUUUCUAGUCUAGAACAAACGAAAUUCUGCAUGAAACACAGUUAUGAAGGAGGAUUUAGUAGUAAAAAGAAAGUAGCGUGUUCUUUUUAACAUGGCCCUGGGACGUGUACACACCGCCCG